This 237-nucleotide ribosomal RNA is filed under the name uncultured bacterium. Its description in RNAcentral is "partial 16S ribosomal RNA". It matches the Rfam family "Bacterial small subunit ribosomal RNA", at positions 15 to 252 of the family's 1533-position model. The record is from RNAcentral.
GAUCCUGGCUCAGGAUGAACGCUGGCGGCGUGCUUAACACAUGCAAGUCGAACGGAAAGGCCAGUGCUUGCACUGGUGCUCGAGUGGCGAACGGGUGAGUAACACGUGGGUGAUCUGCCCUGCACUUUGGGAUAAGCCUGGGAAACUGGGUCUAAUACCAGAUAGGACCAUGCUUUGGAUGGUGUGGUGGAAAGUUUUUUCGGUGUGGGAUGAGCUUGCGGCCUAUCAGCUUGUUGG